GUAUGUGAACAUGGGAAAAGGUAAGAUCUGAUCUGAUAUUUGCGUUGACAACCUUUGAAGUUUGUAUGUGAAUGGGGAAAAUUCGCGAGCACUAUAUAAAGCAGUUCCCAAUGCUGUUUUCAUCUCAACAAAGCUUAAAACAUAUGAAUGGCAACUCCUGACGAAACACGUACACCUCAGCAUCCAGCCCGGACGCCUGUUCUUACAGCAGUCACUCCUUCUCCAAGCCCAAGGCCUGAAUUCCCUCCUCCCAGUGAUCCUGCAGUGCAAGUGGAGACAGAUUCUGAUGACGAAACUUCGGAAAGUAGUGAUGAAGACUACGUGCCUCCAGCUCCUGCUCCACAGCGUGGUAGAGGCAGGGGCCUUGGUCAUGGUCGUG
Molecule: long non-coding RNA, 379 nt
Organism: Halichondria panicea
Lineage: Eukaryota; Metazoa; Porifera; Demospongiae; Suberitida; Halichondriidae
Exons: 3
Source: RefSeq, a predicted model, not a curated record